AUUGAACGCUGGCGGAAUGCUUUACACAUGCAAGUCGAACGGCAGCACGGGGCAACCUGGUGGCGAGUGGCGAACGGGUGAGUAAUACAUCGGAACGUGCCCAAUCGUGGGGGAUAACGUAGCGAAAGUUACGCUAAUACCGCAUACGAUCUACGGAUGAAAGCGGGGGAUCGCAAGACCUCGCGCGAAUGGAGCGGCCGAUGUCAGAUUAGGUAGUUGGUGGGGUAAAGGCUCACCAAGCCAACGAUCUGUAGCUGGUCUGAGAGGACGACCAGCCACACUGGAACUGAGACACGGUCCAGACUCCUACGGGAGGCAGCAGUGGGGAAUUUUGGACAAUGGGGGGCAACCCUGAUCCAGCCAUGCCGCGUGAGUGAAGAAGGCCUGGUGUAAGAC
RNAcentral lists this ribosomal RNA (396 nucleotides) under uncultured bacterium. RNAcentral's name for it is "bacterial SSU rRNA". It matches the Rfam family "Bacterial small subunit ribosomal RNA", at positions 29 to 431 of the family's 1533-position model. The record is from RNAcentral.